Long non-coding RNA from Sphaeramia orbicularis (orbiculate cardinalfish), 224 nucleotides. RefSeq lists it as uncharacterized. The transcript is spliced from 3 exons. The record is from RefSeq and is a predicted model, not a curated record. NCBI's taxonomy places the organism in Eukaryota, Metazoa, Chordata, Actinopteri, Kurtiformes, Apogonidae.
UUCUGAGGUCCCCUGAACUUUAUAUUUCAGGUCGGCCAUGCUUGUUUUUAUUUACACCUACUUCCUUGUUCCUCAGUCAGCUCGCUACUUGAUUGGCUACAUUCUGUUCUACGUCACAAUUCAUGGAGUCAUGACUCGGUAGUUGUUGGCUUUCCCCACACAUGAAGAUUUUUGGUUGUAAAUAUUGAACAAUUUUAAUAUUUACAAUUUUCGGUCCAACCAAU